CCCCUAGAUGUUCUGGGCCGCACGCGCGCUACACUGAACAGUUCAACAAGUCUUAACCUUGGCCGAUAGGUCUGGGUAAUCUUUGAACGCUGUUCGUGAUUGGGAUAGACCUUUGCAAUUAUGGGUCUUCAACGAGGAAUUCCUAGUAAACGCAAGUCAUCAGCUUGCAUUGAUUACGUCCUGCCCUUUGUACACACCGCCCGUCGCACCUACCGAUUGAAUGGUCCGGUGAAAUCUCGGGACGGCGGCUUGGUCGCUUGCGCCCGACUGCUGAAACUUGAUUAAACCAUAUCAUUUAGAGGAAGGUGAANUCGUANCA
This 319-nucleotide ribosomal RNA is filed under the name uncultured eukaryote. RNAcentral's name for it is "partial 18S ribosomal RNA". It matches the Rfam family "Eukaryotic small subunit ribosomal RNA", at positions 1470 to 1796 of the family's 1831-position model. The record is from RNAcentral.